UGGGGAAUAUUGGACAAUGGGCGCAAGCCUGAUCCAGCCAUGCCGCGUGAGUGACGAAGGUCUUCGGAUUGUAAAACUCUUUUGGCGGGGACGAUAAUGACGGUACCCGCAGAAUAAGCCCCGGCUAACUUCGUGCCAGCAGCCGCGGUAAUACGAAGGGGGCUAGCGUUGUUCGGAAUCACUGGGCGUAAAGCGCACGUAGGCGGAUGUGCCAGUCAGGGGUGAAAUCCCGGAGCUCAACUCCGGAACUGCCUCUGAUACAGCACGUCUUGAGUUCGAGAGAGGUGGGUGGAAUUCCUAGUGUAGAGGUGAAAUUCGUAGAUAUUGGGAAGAACACCAGUGGCGAAGGCGGCUAACUGGUCCGGUACUGACGCUGAGGUGCGAAAGCGUGGGGAGCAAACAGGAUUAGAUACCCCGGUAGUCCCUGAGCGGGCUGGCAAGGCGCAU
Molecule: ribosomal RNA, 447 nt
Filed under: uncultured bacterium
Lineage: Bacteria
Description: bacterial SSU rRNA
Rfam family: Bacterial small subunit ribosomal RNA
Source: RNAcentral